This 253-nucleotide ribosomal RNA is filed under the name uncultured bacterium. RNAcentral's name for it is "partial 16S ribosomal RNA". It matches the Rfam family "Bacterial small subunit ribosomal RNA", at positions 524 to 776 of the family's 1533-position model. The record is from RNAcentral.
UACAGAGGGUGCGAGCGUUAAUCGGAAUUACUGGGCGUAAAGCGCGCGUAGGCGGCUUUUCAAGUCGAUUGUGAAAUCCCCGGGCUUAACCUGGGAACUGCAGUCGAGACUGUCUAGCUAGAGUAUGGGAGAGGGAAGUGGAAUUUCAGGUGUAGCGGUGAAAUGCGUAGAUAUCUGAGGGAACAUCAGUGGCGAAAGCGACUUCCUGGACCAAUACUGACGCUCAUGUGCGAAAGCGUGGGGAGCAAACAGG